AGCAGUAGCCGCGGUAAUACGAAGGGGGCUAGCGUUGCUCGGAAUGACUGGGCGUAAAGGGCGCGUAGGCGGAUUGUUUAGUUAGGCGUGAAAUUCCUGGGCUUAACCUGGGGACUGCGCUUAAUACAGGCAGUCUAGAGUGAGGAAGAGGGUUGUGGAAUUCCCAGUGUAGAGGUGAAAUUCGUAGAUAUUGGGAAGAACACCGGUGGCGAAGGCGGCAACCUGGUCCUUGACUGACGCUGAGGCGCGAAAGCGUGGGGAGCAAACAGGAUUAGAUACCCCCGUAGUCCCUGUCUCUUAUAC
Molecule: ribosomal RNA, 303 nt
Filed under: uncultured bacterium
Lineage: Bacteria
Description: partial 16S ribosomal RNA
Rfam family: Bacterial small subunit ribosomal RNA
Source: RNAcentral